GAUGAACGCUGGCGGCGUGCUUAACACAUGCAAGUCGAACGAUGAAGCCCAGCUUGCUGGGUGGAUUAGUGGCGAACGGGUGAGUAACACGUGAGUAACCUGCCCUUAACUCUGGGAUAAGCCUGGGAAACUGGGUCUAAUACCGGAUAGGAGCGUCCACCGCAUGGUGGGUGUUGGAAAGAUUUAUCGGUUUUGGAUGGACUCGCGGCCUAUCAGCUUGUUGGUGAGGUAAUGGCUCACCAAGGCGACGACGGGUAGCCGGCCUGAGAGGGUGACCGGCCAGACUGCGGAGGAGACACGGCGCAGAGACACAGGGGGGGCGGCGGUGGGGAAUAGAGCAGGAGGGGAGAGAGGCGGAGGAGGCGGGGCCGCGGGCGGGGUGACGGCAUUGGGGUUGGAAACCUCUUUAAGGAGGGAAGAAGCGAAGGUGACGGAGACGGAAGAAGAAGCACCUGCAAACUACGUGGCAGGGGCCGCAGUAAUAAGCGGAAGACCACACGGCUCAAC
Molecule: ribosomal RNA, 507 nt
Filed under: uncultured bacterium
Lineage: Bacteria
Description: partial 16S ribosomal RNA
Rfam family: Bacterial small subunit ribosomal RNA
Source: RNAcentral